Molecule: long non-coding RNA, 1521 nt
Filed under: Malus domestica (apple)
Lineage: Eukaryota; Viridiplantae; Streptophyta; Magnoliopsida; Rosales; Rosaceae
Description: long non-coding RNA (MDOM_LNC012599)
Source: RNAcentral
AAUGGUGGCCAAUCAUCAAGAUAAUUAGAUAGUUUAAAAUAGUGAUCAAUAAUUCAAAGUGUGCAUGCAAUCAAUCAUAAGCAAUUAAAUAAAAAAUUACAUAUUCAUGCUAAGGCUCAAGGUUUCGCCCUAGCAAAAGGAAUUAGUUACGCAUAUUCAUAAUUGAAAUCAUAGAAAAUAUUAUUACGAAGAAAAGGGAUGAAAACACAUUAAAGUAUAAAAUCUCCAAGAACCCUCGCCAAGUUCUUUGUCUCUGAAGUUGAAUAAUAAUAAGCGUAGAGAAAAAUUGUAGACGGCCAAAGCAAUAUAUUUGCUCCGCCCUCACAAACCCUAAGACAUAGGUUUCUUAUUCCAACUAGGAAACUAAGAAAAAUAAUAAAAUAUCUUAGAAAAUAAAACCCUAAUUACACUAGGAGAAUCUGCCAAGUACUUGUCCAGCCACGUUUUAGCCUCAGAUCUCCUCCAAAUCCGGCCCAAGAUAGCUUGUUUUAAAGAUAAGGACCUUCCGAACACAUCUCCAGAAGGCCACGAAACCAUCCGAGGUCAUCUUGGGCUCCAAAAACGCAAUUUAAGCCCAGAAACGUCAUUUUCCAGCACCGCGCAUCGCUCCUUUAUUUUAUCGCCAGAAAAUAACUACUUGAUGGAAAAAUUCCAAAUUUUGAUACAACCAAGCUAAGUGACUCACGAACGUCUUACAACUAGAAUUACUCCAAAAUUCGUCCAUUUGACCACGUUUUGCUCCAGAGGAAGUCGGAAGUCCUAUAUUGAAAAUACAAUUCAAAGUAUCAAAAUUCUUCCAAAAUACUAACCAAAAUAUACUAAGAAUAGGGUUAAAUAUAUAAUAUAAAAUUCACUUAUCAUGAACCAAUUGGCAGCAUUGAGUAUGGAGCAAGUCCCGCAGAGCUUGAAUUUUAUCAAGAGUGUGAAGAAGGUAAUUAUUUUGUUUUUUAUAAUUUGGUUUAUAACUUUAUAUUAAUUGGUUUACAAUUAACGUUUGUUCUUUAUUGUAGAAUAUAAAAGAAAAAGAGCAAAUACUAUAUCUACAAGUUCAACCACAUCAAGUGUUCUUGAAAUUGAAGCAACUUGAAUGAAUAAAGGAAAAGGAAUUGCGGUAAUAUUUUAAACUCAAAUGAAUAAACUUUAAAUUUCAAUGAUUCAAUUUCAAUGAGGAUAAUAUGAUGUUGGACUUUAAAAAUGUCAUGUUUAUAUUCUAUUUUUGCUUACAGAUUCAAUGAGGAUUGUUGUUGGAACUUGGGCGUUGGAUGUUGAUUUGAAUUUUUUUGUGGAUGUGGUCUUGGACUCUCGGUUUCAGAUGUAUUUUAUGUUGAUUUAAUCUUUAGAUGUUGGAUGAUGCAAUGUUAUUUUGGAUGUAUUUUAUUUGUGCAAUUGCAAUAUGUGCAAUAUUGCAGUCUGUUUUUUUUUUUUUUUUCAAUCUGUGCACUACAAACUGCAAUCUGUGCAAUCUGUUUUGUGCAAACUGCAAUAUGUGUAAACUGGAAUAUGUGCAAUCUGUGCAAACUG